GACGAACGCUGGCGGCGUGCCUAAUACAUGCAAGUCGAGCGAAGUUUUUCUGGUGCUUGCACUAGAAAAACUUAGCGGCGAACGGGUGAGUAACACGUAAAGAACCUGCCUCAUAGACUGGGACAACUAUUGGAAACGAUAGCUAAUACCGGAUAACAGUAUUUCUCGCAUGAGAGAUAUUUAAAAGUUGGUUAUGCUAACACUAUGAGAUGGCUUUGCGGUGCAUUAGCUAGUUGGUGGGGUAAAGGCCCACCAAGGCGACGAUGCAUAGCCGACCUGAGAGGGUGAUCGGCCACACUGGGACUGAGACACGGCCCAGACUCCUACGGGAGGCAGCAGUAGGGAAUCUUCCGCAAUGGGCGAAAGCCUGACGGAGCAACGCCGCGUGAGUGAAGAAGGAUUUCGGUUCGUAAAGCUCUGUUGUUAGGGAAGAAUGGAUAUGUAGUAACUAUACAUGUAAGAGACGGUAC
This 470-nucleotide ribosomal RNA is filed under the name Gemella morbillorum. Its description in RNAcentral is "bacterial SSU rRNA". It matches the Rfam family "Bacterial small subunit ribosomal RNA", at positions 28 to 478 of the family's 1533-position model. The record is from RNAcentral. Lineage: Bacteria; Bacillati; Bacillota; Bacilli; Caryophanales; Gemellaceae.